Molecule: ribosomal RNA, 611 nt
Filed under: uncultured bacterium
Lineage: Bacteria
Description: bacterial SSU rRNA
Rfam family: Bacterial small subunit ribosomal RNA
Source: RNAcentral
GGGGAGUACGGUCGCAAGAUUAAAACUCAAAGGAAUUGACGGGGACCCGCACAAGCGGUGGAUGAUGUGGAUUAAUUCGAUGCAACGCGAAAAACCUUACCUACCCUUGACAUGUCCAGAAUCCUGCUGAGAGGUGGGAGUGCCCGAAAGGGAAUUGGAACACAGGUGCUGCAUGGCUGUCGUCAGCUCGUGUCGUGAGAUGUUGGGUUAAGUCCCGCAACGAGCGCAACCCUUAUCAUUAGUUGCUACGCAAGGGCACUCUAAUGAGACUGCCGGUGACAAACCGGAGGAAGGUGGGGAUGACGUCAAGUCCUCAUGGCCCUUAUGGGUAGGGCUUCACACGUCAUACAAUGGUCGGUACAGAGGGUUGCCAAGCCGCGAGGCGGAGCCAAUCCCAGAAAGCCGAUCGUAGUCCGGAUUGUUCUCUGCAACUCGAGAGCAUGAAGUCGGAAUCGCUAGUAAUCGCGGAUCAGCAUGUCGCGGUGAAUACGUUCCCGGGUCUUGUACACACCGCCCGUCACACCAUGGGAGUGGAAUCUGGCAGAAGUAGGUAGCCUAACCGCAAGGAGGGCGCUUACCACGCUGGGUUUCAUGGGGAACCUCACCUCCUU